UGACAGCCAUAAUCGUAUUCUGAUAAUACACGUUGGUGCUCAAAUAUUUUCAGAUGGCCCGUGCAAAGUCAUGCCACCAGUCUGAGGACAUCACUGGGAAUGGCACAUGGGACACGUGGCUUUCAACUCCAGCGAGACCCAAGUCGACUGGACCACAGCGGAAAAUGAUCCUUCCAGAGAAGAAGUUAUUUACUUCUACAACGAAUGGAAGAGUUACAACUUCCAGAUGACAGCUCGCCGCUCAUCCUUCUGGGCAACUUGAACAUCCGACAGAACUUAUGUGACCUACUGCGUUUAUUUUCUCCUUUAGCUCUCACUAACUCUAACUUGCCCCAGCACCUGUUGUGAUUUAUUCUAGCGCUUCCACAAUUGAAUUUUGCUUGGUAUUUCAUCUAACUUGCCCCAGCACCUGUUGUGAUUUAUUCUAGCGCUUCCACAAUUGAAUUUUGCUUGUUAUUUUAUCUAACUUGCCCCAGCACCUGUUGUGAUUAAUUCUCUCUCACGGUGUCAAGUGUGUACCUUGAUCUUUUUUUUGCUCAUUGCAGCCCUUCUCUGCAAGGAGUGCUAACAAUGCAUGGUGCUGUUCAUUAAGCAACUGGGUAAAGAGCUUGUAAUGCCACAUAUGAAAAAGCUCAUAAGCUCAUUUAUAAUAAAAUAAUAUAUAUAAUCUUG
Long non-coding RNA from Pungitius pungitius (ninespine stickleback), 672 nucleotides. RefSeq lists it as uncharacterized. The transcript has 2 exons. Lineage: Eukaryota; Metazoa; Chordata; Actinopteri; Perciformes; Gasterosteidae. The record is from RefSeq and is a predicted model, not a curated record.